This 1356-nucleotide long non-coding RNA is filed under the name Papio anubis (olive baboon). RNAcentral describes it as "lncRNA (ENSPANG00000047177.1)". The record is from RNAcentral. Lineage: Eukaryota; Metazoa; Chordata; Mammalia; Primates; Cercopithecidae.
AUGGUGGCUUUCAGAGUUUUCUAUUUCCUCUCUCUUUUUUUUUUUUUUAGAUGGAGUCUCGCUGUCUCACCCAGACUGGAAUGUAGUGGUGUGAUCUUGGCUCACUGCAACCUCCACCUCCCACGUUCAAAUGAUUCUCCUGCCUCAGCCUCCCGAGUAGCUGGGAUUACAGUAAAGAGUAGACCUCCGACAGAGGAAGCAGCCUGUCUUUCAACUGUAAACUGUGGUUUGCUACACUUCAUUCUCUAUUACUUUGGUCCUCAAAGCAGUCUCACCCCGAGAUGAGCCUGGACAUGAGUGUCAUAGCCAGCGGUGUGACAAGUAGAAAGGCUGUGUAUGAAGACGCUCCAUCUUAUCUGCCAAUGUUUUUCUCAUCUGUACAAUUAAGGUGCUCCAUUAAAUCAGCUCUAAGGUUGUUUCAAGGUUAAGAAAGAAUUAAAAUCAUAAAUCAAGCUUUCAGAGGCAUUGCAGGAUUGAGAUGCUACAAUUUUGGAGUUUAUAAAUUGAUAGUAAAGAGAACUGUCCGAAAAUGACCUCUGUCCUGAGACGAAGCAACCCCAGGGAAGUCUUGCCAGACCUCACCUCCACCUGCUCUUCCAGAGACUGCACAAGAAGGGUGUUAGGGACACUGAUUUCCAAAUCUGUCUCCCUCCCCACAGCACGCUGCUGGGCAGGAUUCAGGCCUCACUGUUUUCUUGAUUCUUAGAACCUGUCACUGAUGCAUGUGUGUUGACCAAAUAAAUAAUGCUACUGUUUGUCUUACACUUGCCCUUUCUGAUCACGAGUUCUAUGUUAGUAUCCUGAGUGACGACUGCUUCUCACUUGCCUUACUUUCAUCAUCUUUCAGCUCUCUCCUUUCCCUUCCUCAGCACCAAUAAGUCCUACAUCUGUACGCCUGAUUCCUGCACUGCAACUCAGAGUUUUCAGUCAUGACUAUUUAAACUCACAUUGAAGACUUGUGCCUGGUCGUGUGCUAGAAAUAUCUCCUUGGCUCCAGCUGUCAUGAAUCCUAGAAGGAAUAAAGAUCUACAUAGCUGCAGAAGGCAACAUACCCCACCUGAAGGAGGUGACAUCCCGGUGUGGGAGAAGCAGGCCCGAGUGACAGGACAUCAGUAUCAGUCCUUUAAGGUGAUGAAGAAGCUGCUUUGCAGCCCAGCAUUGCCUCCAUUUUAGCUGCCCAUUUACAGUGAAGGAAUUUCUUAAAGAUAAUUUCCAGAUUAUAACUGGAAGAAAAGGGAAUUUUCAUUUCAAAUUUAGAAUGAUGAACGGAGAAGAAAAUCUUUUUAAAAAUUCUCUUUCCCCGUGUAGCUCAUUAAAAAAAUGUUUUUUUCUGGACCAUUAAUGAAGCAGGUAUAG